UACGUAGGGCGCAAGCGUUGUCCGGAAUUAUUGGGCGUAAAGAGCUCGUAGGUGGCUUGUCGCGUCUGCCGUGAAAGCCCAUGGCUUAACUGUGGGUCUGCGGUGGAUACGGGCUGGCUAGAGGUAGGUAGGGGCAAGCGGAAUUCCUGGUGUAGCGGUGAAAUGCGCAGAUAUCAGGAGGAACACCGGUGGCGAAGGCGGCUUGCUGGGCCUUACCUGACGCUGAGAAGCGAAAGCGUGGGGAGCGAACAGG
Molecule: ribosomal RNA, 253 nt
Filed under: uncultured bacterium
Lineage: Bacteria
Description: partial 16S ribosomal RNA
Rfam family: Bacterial small subunit ribosomal RNA
Source: RNAcentral